GAAAUGCGAAAAGUAAUGUGAAUUGCAGAAUUCAGUGAACCAUCGAAUCUUUGAACGCACAUUGCGCCCGCCAGUAUUCUGGCGGGCAUGCCUGUCUGAGCGUCAUUUCAACCCUCAUACCCCCACGGGUGUGGUGUUGGGGAUCGGCCUAAGCCCUCUCGGGGGCGGGCCGGCCCCUAAAUCUAGUGGCGGACCCGUCGUGGCCUCCUCUGCGUAGUAGUAAUAUUCCGCAUGUGGAGAGCGUCGAGCCCCUGCCGUAAAACCCCAACUUCCAAGGUUGACCUCAGAUCAGGUAGGAAUACCCGCUGAACUUAA
This 315-nucleotide unclassified non-coding RNA is filed under the name uncultured Bionectriaceae. RNAcentral's name for it is "sequence contains ITS1". The stretch from base 1 to 105 matches the Rfam family "5.8S ribosomal RNA", at positions 50 to 154 of the family's 154-position model. Lineage: Eukaryota; Fungi; Ascomycota; Sordariomycetes; Hypocreales. The record is from RNAcentral.